RNAcentral lists this ribosomal RNA (258 nucleotides) under uncultured bacterium. Its description in RNAcentral is "partial 16S ribosomal RNA". The record is from RNAcentral.
CUGCUGCCUCCCGUAGGAGUUUGGGCCGUGUCUCAGUCCCAAUGUGGCCGUCCACCCUCUCAGGCCGGCUACUGAUCGCUGCCUUGGUGGGCCGUUACCCCGCCAACUAGCUAAUCAGACGCGGAUCCAUCGUAUACCACCGGAGUUUUUCACACUGCCCCAUGCGGAGCCGUGCGCUUAUGCGGUAUUAGCACCUAUUUCUAAGUGUUAUCCCCCGGUAUACGGCAGGUUAUCCACGCGUUACUCACCCGUCCGCCA